CGAACGGGUGAGUAAUGCGUGACCAACCUGCCCCAUGCUCCAGAAUAGCUCUUGGAAACGGGUGGUAAUGCUGGAUGCUCCAACUUGACGCAUGUCUUGUUGGGAAAGUGUUUAGUGGCAUGGGAUGGGGUCGCGUCCUAUCAGCUUGUAGGCGGGGUAAUGGCCCACCUAGGCUUCGACGGGUAGCCGGCCUGAGAGGGCGGACGGCCACAUUGGGACUGAGAUACGGCCCAGACUCCUACGGGAGGCAGCAGCCC
This 257-nucleotide ribosomal RNA is filed under the name uncultured Gardnerella sp. RNAcentral describes it as "partial 16S ribosomal RNA". It matches the Rfam family "Bacterial small subunit ribosomal RNA", at positions 99 to 355 of the family's 1533-position model. Lineage: Bacteria; Bacillati; Actinomycetota; Actinomycetes; Bifidobacteriales; Bifidobacteriaceae. The record is from RNAcentral.